GAAGUAGUUUAUAUUGUCAUAGCGCUGUUAGUUGCAUUUAUUGGCAGAGAAAUGCCAACAGAAAAUUUGGUUAAAAAAUUUACAUCAAUAAGUAAUACCAAAUUAAGGGGUUUUGCAUUUCUUAACACUGUAUCCUUUGUGGGGAUCAGGAAAAGAUACAGCUUUCCCCUCCACUAAAUGAUUUUGGAAAUGACUCACAUUCUUGCAGGUUUUGGCAAGCUUUCUUGUCUCACUGUGUGGCUCAUCUUCCAGGCAAACUUUGCAACAGUUGCUGCCAAGUCACAGAUGAAUGCAGAAGUAGCUGGCAGAACCAGAUAUCCAGAGAGAACCUGUGAGUGUCAAAGCUGCACAUCCUCUGAAAAUUGCUCUAAUUGUUGUACUUCUGUAAAGGAUCCUGACUGUGGGAAGCAUAGUUUGUAAGCUGACUGUGAGUUCUCCAUGUGCACGACAACAGCUGAUGAUGAGUUUUCUGCUCUGUAGCCCCACUAUGGCCCCCAAGUAACCUACUUUCAAACACUGCUAAAUUAAAUUUUUUCUCCUUUUACUGUC
Molecule: long non-coding RNA, 549 nt
Organism: Pseudopipra pipra
Lineage: Eukaryota; Metazoa; Chordata; Aves; Passeriformes; Pipridae
Exons: 2
Source: RefSeq, a predicted model, not a curated record